AAGAUAUUUCUGGAUGUACCAUUUUUCUGGAUCUACCAUUCCUCCUCCUCGCCUCUCUCUCUCUCAUUUCUUGAUCGACAGAUACUCAUCCUCCCCUCGCAAAAGAAGAAGAGAGAUUCAUUUAUUGAUCCGUUUGUUGGGAGAUGAUUGAUUCCGUUUCUCGAUUCAUUUGUUAUCAAGGGAUAAUUCAACCUCUCUCCCAUUUCAUUUGUUGACAGAUGAUCCAGCCUCUUGCAUUUUUCUUUCUUUUGUGAGGGAUCUUGCAUUUCAUUUGUAGAGAGACAGCAAUUCAUCCUCUCCUCCCAUUCCAUUUGUAGAAAGAUAGGACAAUCCAUCAUCCCUCGGCCAUUCCCUUUUGUCGAGAGAUAAUCCAUCCAUUACCACAUUGUCCGCAAAAUGCAUCAUGAUCAGGACAGUUACCGUCGCGACAGGGAACAAGGAACUCCUGGGCCGAUGAUGCCUCCGUCCAAGGGCGAGGAGGAGGAGGAGCCUCCUCGUAAGCCUCCGGUGUCCACAACAUGCUUCAUAUUAGGAUUUUUCGCCGCGCUAUGUUGCUGCUGCUUGGUCGACGAGCCGCUCAUGUGACACGCUUGUCUUGCGUGCCGUGCCGUGCUUUGUACAUACUGCAGGAAACAUGCUAUCAUAUCAAAAUAAGUCUGGCCCGUGAAUGCUUUGCUUUCCUUCUGAAAUUCGGAGAAUCCUCCUUGCACACAAGUGAUUGUUGGAACUAUGUAGGUCGGGACUAUUAAGCAAAUUCAAUAAUUUAUAGGUGAAACUUUAGCCCAUAUUGCUACUCGAAAUGGAGUUAGACUGGUAUAUUUUUCGACAAAUUUAUUUCUACUGCUAAGAGUUUGAGAAGAACAUA
Molecule: long non-coding RNA, 865 nt
Organism: Aegilops tauschii subsp. strangulata
Lineage: Eukaryota; Viridiplantae; Streptophyta; Magnoliopsida; Poales; Poaceae
Source: RefSeq, a predicted model, not a curated record